UGGGCAGAAGCCCGACGGUUCAGGCAUUUGGCUGUUAACUAAACAUUCGCAGGAUCAAAACCUGCCUGUCCAG
RNAcentral lists this transfer RNA (73 nucleotides) under Tetrabrachium ocellatum (four-armed frogfish). RNAcentral's name for it is "tRNA-Asn". The record is from RNAcentral. Lineage: Eukaryota; Metazoa; Chordata; Actinopteri; Lophiiformes; Tetrabrachiidae.